RNAcentral lists this small nucleolar RNA (107 nucleotides) under Helianthus annuus (common sunflower). RNAcentral describes it as "Plant small nucleolar RNA R71". It matches the Rfam family "Plant small nucleolar RNA R71". From Rfam's summary of the family: R71 is a member of the C/D box family of snoRNAs containing the C (UGAUGA) and D (CUGA) box motifs. The record is from RNAcentral. Lineage: Eukaryota; Viridiplantae; Streptophyta; Magnoliopsida; Asterales; Asteraceae.
AACCCAUGAUGUGGAAGAUCGAUCAGAAAAUCUUUGAACCUCUCCCAAGCAGCGUGUAGAGAUUCACCUUCAUCCUGUUUGAAUGUUAUGAUACGAUUCUUUAGCUU